Long non-coding RNA from Amblyraja radiata (thorny skate), 135 nucleotides. RefSeq lists it as uncharacterized. The record is from RefSeq and is a predicted model, not a curated record. Lineage: Eukaryota; Metazoa; Chordata; Chondrichthyes; Rajiformes; Rajidae. The transcript has 3 exons.
GUCUGUGCUCUUUUUUAUUUGUAUGGCUGUAAGGUGACCACACAUUUCACUGUACCAAUUGGUACAUGUGACAAAUAAAUGGCUCUUGUAUCUCUUGUAUCUCUUGUAUCUUGUAACUUUCCGGCUUUUCUGUUU